Molecule: long non-coding RNA, 518 nt
Organism: Acipenser ruthenus (sterlet)
Lineage: Eukaryota; Metazoa; Chordata; Actinopteri; Acipenseriformes; Acipenseridae
Exons: 4
Source: RefSeq, a predicted model, not a curated record
AAAAAAUAAAAGUAAAAAGGACAUGAUGAAAGGAUACUUACUGGCUCUAAUGAGUGAAAAAGGCAUCUGCUUUGGAGGUAGCUGCCAUGGAAAACAACUCAGACACAUUUCAUCAAACUGUAAUCCUCCGCAUAAUUCAAAACUGCGAGGCACGUUGGAGCCACGGGGGCUGGAGAGACUGAAACAUUGUUUGUAACCUUAGUUACUGAUAAAAAAAAGAUAUGGCACCAAAACACGAGAAAAAGAAGAAACGUGGAUGCUGCCCAUGUCUGUCAUCAUCUGUGAACGAAGCUGAAGAUUGUGAGGAAUAUCUGAUUUCUGUGAGUGAAUCCCCAGAGGAAGACUUAGGAGUGUUACAUUCAUUUGAGACAAUACUUGAUUCCACAAAUAGUACUACAAAGAAAAAGAAAAAGAAAAAAUCUAAAAGCCACAAAAAAGCAAAGAAAAAAACUGAACUAGAACUAAAGAAAUUGCAACCACCUGUUUGCCAGAAAAGGGAGAGUGAUGAUUCAUAUGAG